CGAGCGAACGGAUAAGGAGCUUGCUCCUUUGAAGUUAGCGGCGGACGGGUGAGUAACACGUGGGUAACCUACCUAUAAGACUGGAAUAACUUCGGGAAACCGGAGCUAAUGCCGGAUAACAUUUGGAACCGCAUGGUUCUAAAGUAAAAGAUGGUUUUGCUAUCACUUAUAGAUGGACCCGCGCCGUAUUAGCUAGUUGGUAAGGUAACGGCUUACCAAGGCAACGAUACGUAGCCGACCUGAGAGGGUGAUCGGCCACACUGGAACUGAGACACGGUCCAGACUCCUACGGGAGGCAGCAGUAGGGAAUCUUCCGCAAUGGACGAAAGUCUGACGGAGCAACGCCGCGUGAGUGAUGAAGGUUUUCGGAUCGUAAAACUCUGUUAUUAGGGAAGAACAAAUGUGUAAGUAACUGUGCACAUCUUGACGGUACCUAAUCAGAAAGCCACGGCUAACUACGUGCCAGCAGCCGCGGUAAUACGUAGGUGGCAAGCGUUAUCCGGAAUUAUUGGGCGUAAAGCGCGCGUAGGCGGUUUCUUAAGUCUGAUGUGAAAGCCCACGGCUCAACCGUGGAGGGUCAUUGGAAACUGGGAAACUUGAGUACAGAAGAGGAAAGUGGAAUUCCAUGUGUAGCGGUGAAAUGCGCAGAGAUAUGGAGGAACACCAGUGGCGAAGGCGACUUUCUGGUCUGUAACUGACGCUGAUGUGCGAAAGCGUGGGGAUCAAACAGGAUUAGAUACCCUGGUAGUCCACGCCGUAAACGAUGAGUGCUAAGUGUUAGGGGUUUCCGCCCCUUAGUG
This 800-nucleotide ribosomal RNA is filed under the name Staphylococcus sp. Mg53. Its description in RNAcentral is "bacterial SSU rRNA". It matches the Rfam family "Bacterial small subunit ribosomal RNA", at positions 63 to 845 of the family's 1533-position model. Lineage: Bacteria; Bacillati; Bacillota; Bacilli; Caryophanales; Staphylococcaceae. The record is from RNAcentral.